AGAGUUUGAUCAUGGCUCAGGAUGAACGCUAGCGGCAGGCCUAAUACAUGCAAGUCGGACGGGAUUGGAGAGCUUGCUUUCCAUGAGAGUGGCGCACGGGUGCGUAACACGUAUGUAACCUACCCUUGUCAGGGGGAUAGCCUCUCGAAAGAGAGAUUAAGACCGCAUAACAUUGAGAUGUAGCAUUACAAUUCAAUCAAAUAUUUAUAGGACAAGGAUGGGCAUGCGGAACAUUAGCUAGUUGGUGAGGUAACUGCUCACCAAGGCUACGAUGUUUAGGGGAUCUGAGAGGAUGACCCCCCACACUGGUACUGAGACACGGACCAGACUCCUACGGGAGGCAGCAGUAAGGAAUAUUGGUCAAUGGGCGGAAGCCUGAACCAGCCAUGCCGCGUGCAGGAAGACGGCCCUACGGGUUGUAAACUGCUUUUGCAGGGGAAUAAACCCCCGUAUGUAUACGGGGCUGAAUGUACUCUGAGAAUAAGGAUCGGCUAACUCCGUGCCAGCAGCCGCGGUAAUACGGAGGAUCCAAGCGUUAUCCGGAUUUAUUGGGUUUAAAGGGUGCGUAGGUGGCCUGUUAAGUCAGGGGUGAAAGACGGUAGCUUAACUAUCGCAGUGCCCUUGAUACUGAUGGGCUUGAAUGAACUAGAGGUAGGCGGAAUGUGACAAGUAGCGGUGAAAUGCAUAGAUAUGUCACAGAACACCAAUUGCGAAGGCAGCUUACUAUGGUUUUAUUGACACUGAGGCACGAAAGCGUGGGGAUCAAACAGGAUUAGAUACCCUGGUAGUCCACGCCCUAAACGAUGAAUACUCGAUGUUGGCGAUAUACGGUCAGCGUCUAAGCGAAAGCGUUAAGUAUUCCACCUGGGGAGUACGCCCGCAAGGGUGAAACUCAAAGGAAUUGACGGGGGCCCGCACAAGCGGAGGAGCAUGUGGUUUAAUUCGAUGAUACGCGAGGAACCU
This 963-nucleotide ribosomal RNA is filed under the name uncultured bacterium. RNAcentral's name for it is "bacterial SSU rRNA". It matches the Rfam family "Bacterial small subunit ribosomal RNA", at positions 8 to 971 of the family's 1533-position model. The record is from RNAcentral.